UGGCUGAGCGGUAAAGCGCUUGCCUUUCGAACCAGGAGUCCCGGGUUUGAAUCCUGG
Molecule: non-coding RNA, 57 nt
Organism: Biomphalaria glabrata
Lineage: Eukaryota; Metazoa; Mollusca; Gastropoda; Planorbidae
Source: Rfam